AGAGUUUGAUCCUGGCUCAGGAUGAACGCUAGCUACAGGCUUAACACAUGCAAGUCGAGGGGCAGCAUGAUCUGUGCUUGCACAGAUUGAUGGCGACCGGCGCACGGGUGAGUAACGCGUAUCCAACCUUCCCCUUAGUAGGGCAUAGCCCGGCGAAAGUCGGAUUAAUACCCUAUGUUUUCCAAUGAGGACAUCUGAGCUGGAAUAAAGAUUCAUCGCUAAGGGAUGGGGAUGCGUCCGAUUAGGUUGUUGGCGGGGUAACGGCCCACCAAGCCUUCGAUCGGUAGGGGUUCUGAGAGGAAGGUCCCCCACACUGGUACUGAGACACGGACCAGACUCCUACGGGAGGCAGCAGUGAGGAAUAUUGGUCAAUGGGCGAGAGCCUGAACCAGCCAAAGUAGCGUGCAGGAUGACGGCCCUAUGGGUUGUAAACUGCUUUUAUACGGGGAUAAAGUGGGGGACGUGUCCCUUAUUGUAGGUACCGUAUGAAUAAGGACCGGCUAAUUCCGUGCCAGCCGCGGC
RNAcentral lists this ribosomal RNA (522 nucleotides) under uncultured bacterium. Its description in RNAcentral is "bacterial SSU rRNA". It matches the Rfam family "Bacterial small subunit ribosomal RNA", at positions 8 to 518 of the family's 1533-position model. The record is from RNAcentral.